Molecule: ribosomal RNA, 492 nt
Filed under: uncultured bacterium
Lineage: Bacteria
Description: partial 16S ribosomal RNA
Rfam family: Bacterial small subunit ribosomal RNA
Source: RNAcentral
AGUGAACGCUGGCGGUAGGCCUAACACAUGCAAGUCGAACGGCAGCACAGUAAGAGCUUGCUCUUACGGGUGGCGAGUGGCGGACGGGUGAGGAAUACAUCGGAAUCUACUUUUUCGUGGGGGAUAACGUAGGGAAACUUACGCUAAUACCGCAUACGACCUACGGGUGAAAGCAGGGGAUCUUCGGACUUUGCGCGAUUGAAUGAGCCGAUGUCGGAUUAGCUAGUUGGCGGGGUAAAGGCCCACCAAGGCGACGCUCCGUAGCUGGUCUGAGAGGGUGAUCAGCCACACUGGAACUGAGACACGGUCCAGACUCCUACGGGAGGCAGCAGUGGGGAAUAUUGGACAAUGGGCGCAAGCCUGAUCCAGCCAUACCGCGUGGGUGAAGAAGGCCUUCGGGUUGUAAAACCCUUUUGUUGGGAAAGAAAAGCAGCAGGUUAAUACCCCGCUGUUCUGACGGUACCCAAAGAAUAAGCACCGGCUAACUUCGUG